CAAUUAUACACUAGUACAAACCACAGUUACACAUUCCACUAUUUCAGUGACUAUUGGAGGUACAGUGCAAUCCAUGUUAUCUUCCUUGAAUAUUUCAUCAACAAAAACAACUUUGUCAACUCACACAUGUACAUGUACUCCUUGUACAGAACAAAGUAGUAAUACUGUUAGUGUAUUAGCUAUUAGUUUCCCC
This is a long non-coding RNA of Amphimedon queenslandica, 193 nucleotides long. RefSeq lists it as uncharacterized. The transcript is spliced from 4 exons. The record is from RefSeq and is a predicted model, not a curated record. NCBI's taxonomy places the organism in Eukaryota, Metazoa, Porifera, Demospongiae, Haplosclerida, Niphatidae.